This 407-nucleotide long non-coding RNA is filed under the name Helianthus annuus (common sunflower). RNAcentral's name for it is "sRNA HanXRQr2_Chr06g0266511". The record is from RNAcentral. Lineage: Eukaryota; Viridiplantae; Streptophyta; Magnoliopsida; Asterales; Asteraceae.
UUGGGAAACCACUGCUUCUCCUGUCGAUUUCAACACCCUACAAACAAUUACAAUAAUUAACAUACUACAAACAAAUGAAGUACUUUAAUCAUCAAGUUGCAAAACAUCAUUUCAACUAAAACCAGAUAAUCACUUUCAAUCUUCACAAAAUACUGUUUUAACCCAACAGUGGUUUCAAACCACCGUUUUAACCCUACAGUGGUUUCAACCACUGUUUUCUCCAAAAAACACUAUCUUAACCCAAUAGUGGUUUCAAACCGUCGUUUCAAACCACUGUUUAAUACAAAUUUCCACAUAAAUCAAAAUAAAAAAAAAACAUGUGGAUUACUGGGCCUCCUUUUGACUCGAACAGUAGCUCCAUUCAAGCUCGACUCAAGCUUUUAGCCAGCCGACUAGAGCUUUUGUAG